This 253-nucleotide ribosomal RNA is filed under the name uncultured bacterium. Its description in RNAcentral is "partial 16S ribosomal RNA". It matches the Rfam family "Bacterial small subunit ribosomal RNA", at positions 524 to 776 of the family's 1533-position model. The record is from RNAcentral.
AACGUAGGAGACAAACGUUAUCCGGAGUUACUGGGCGUAAAGGGCGUGUAGGUGGUUUUGUAAGUUCGGCGUGAAAUAUCUCGGCUUAACCGAGGCAGGUCGUCGGAUACUGCAGGACUAGAGGACGGUAGAGGCGUGUGGAAUUCCGGGAGUAGUGGUGAAAUGCGUAGAGAUCCGGAGGAACACCAGUGGCGAAGGCGACACGCUGGGCCGUACCUGACACUGAUGCGCGACAGCAUGGGGAGCAAACAGG